RNAcentral lists this ribosomal RNA (253 nucleotides) under uncultured bacterium. RNAcentral describes it as "partial 16S ribosomal RNA". It matches the Rfam family "Bacterial small subunit ribosomal RNA", at positions 524 to 776 of the family's 1533-position model. The record is from RNAcentral.
UACGUAGGGUGCGAGCGUUGUCCGGAAUUACUGGGCGUAAAGAGCUCGUAGGUGGUUUGUCGCGUUGUUCGUGAAAACUCACAGCUCAACUGUGGGCGUGCGGGCGAUACGGGCAGACUGGAGUACUGCAGGGGAGACUGGAAUUCCUGGUGUAGCGGUGGAAUGCGCAGAUAUCAGGAGGAACACCGGUGGCGAAGGCGGGUCGCUGGGCAGUAACUGACGCUGAGGAGCGAAAGCGUGGGGAGCGAACAGG